Molecule: long non-coding RNA, 2218 nt
Organism: Trichechus manatus latirostris (Florida manatee)
Lineage: Eukaryota; Metazoa; Chordata; Mammalia; Sirenia; Trichechidae
Exons: 3
Source: RefSeq, a predicted model, not a curated record
AUGCCCCUCUCACUACAUAAGAACCACGCCCUUCUUCUCUCUUCCUCAAAUAGCUCCUUCCUGUUUCAAGGCUGCUGCUCACAUUGGUCCCUCUGCUUGGUACCUUCUUCCCACAGAUCUUUGCAUAAUGAACUCUUUCUUAUUUUUCAGGUUCUAGCUCAUCUGUUGCCUCCUCAUGGAAGAGGAAUGAAUGAGUGAAUGAUGACUGGAUCAGACACAGCUGGGUUUGACAUCUGGCCCUACACUUACAAGCCAAGUAACCUAGAAAAGUCAUGGAUUCAACAAGAGGCAGGAGGACCAGAGUGACCACCCUCUGCUGGAAUGACUACCACUAGGAGUCCCAGGACCAUGGAGAACACCAUCUGGUGGCUCAACAGUUAAGCUCUCAGCUGCUAACCAGAAGGUUGACGGUUUGAACCCACCCAGUAGCUCUGUGGAAGAAAGACCUGGCGAUCUGCUUCUGUAAAGAUUACAGCCUAGAAAACCCUAUGGGGCAGUUCUACUCUUUCACAUGGAUCACUGUGAAUAAGAAACUGACUCCACAGCACUUAACAACAACACCCACAGAACUUCAUCGUGUGUGGCUCUCCUAUAAUUUAAUUAACCAAUCACCAACUGCUGAGCACAUAGGUUGCUUCUGACUUUGCACGGCUAAUUGCAUUGGCAUAGUAAGCCUUCUUGCACGUACAUCCACAAGCCUGAUUUUUGGAAUCUGGAGGUUUCUCCUGAUGGGCUGUUAUCCAUGUGCACAUUCUUUGAGUGAGCAGCAGGCACAUGCUUUGCCAAGCCAGCGAAAUAAUUGCAACCAGAGCUAAAGAUGAGGGCAAGUUCCUGAUGCAGCACCUUGUGCUGUCCAUUAAUAGGGCUGAAUGAUGCUCCAACGCCUUAAAUCUGCAGGCCUGUCUAAUUUUAGAAGGAAACGGAUGGUGUCCAUCCUGGAGUCAGUGUUUGGAAACAUACAACAAAAGGAAAGCUUUAUUAACACUGGAAAUGUACUCUCAAUUCAGGUUUCCUUUUCAACACCCGUCUUGUUCAUCUCACAGCUCAAUGAACUGUUAACGUCACAUGUAUCUUUUGUUCCAGCAGCGAAUCCAGUUACUCUAGGCUUCUGCUAACUGCAGACAGUUGAGAUUUAGUUUUCCCAGGGAGCAAAAGAAAAGAGCAAGAGAUUAAAUUGUGUAGAUGGUCUUGGCAGGGCUGAGGUGGGGGUGGUGGGGGGGCACACCUUGGUCUUUGAGCCAUGUGGCAUCACAUUCUAUCUUCUUAUAGAUUGUAAACUGUAGAUCCAUUUUCCUCUGUUGAUGGGCUUGGAAGUUACACGGAUCUGGGUAUCUGUAUGCCCCUGGACACGUUAUUCAGACUUCCUGAGACUUAGUUCUUGCACCCAUAACAAAGUAAAACUGCCUCAUAGGGUUUCCAAAGAGUGGCUGGUGGUGGAUUUGAAAUCCAUAACAGAGAACCUCUAAUCUAGGCACAGAGUCCCUGGGUGGUACAAAUGGUUAAUGCGCUUGGCUGCUAACUGAAAGAGUGGAGGUUUGAGUCCAUCCAAAGGCAUGGUGGAAGAAAGGCCUGGCGAUCUAUUUUCAUAAGAUUAUAGCCACUGAAAGCUCUAUGGAGCACAGUUCUACUCUGACACACAUGGGGUUGCCAUGAGUCAGAAUUGACUCGACAGCUGUUGGUUUGGUUUCAGUUGAGACACUGUGGAAGUCUAAAGUCCCCUGAGGACUUCUGAGAAUUCCCUGGCUGGGUUAGGGUGAGUGGAAAAGUGCUGAGUUGACUGAGGCCACUCCCUGUGCACUUGUGGUGAAGCUGAGAGUCAUCAGGAUUCCAGAAAGCGACACUUUUCCCUUCAGGACCAGGGUAUAGGUGCAUCAUGUCACUCUGAUUUCCCUUGUAGAUAAAUCCGCCCAGAUGACAAAGUUAGAUUAUGACAAAUGGCGGUUUGUAGGUGGAGGUCAGGAUACUGGCUCCCACUCGUCUGGAUAGGCCUGAUAUCCUCCUUGACUCACCCUUGAAGGCCUUUUGCGCUGACAUCGGUCCCUGCCUCUAAUGCUUGCUCUUAAGUCUCCCUGAGUCCCUGUCAGAACCUUUUCUUGCCUAUCCCAAUGCAGUGGUGUAACGCGUUUGGGAGGGGAAGAAGCACGUCAGAGCUUUCACUGCACAUUUCAAGUGCGGAAGGGCCCUCUCAGCUGUGGUUGCCUUCUCUGGAGUCUACCCG